GGAAGGGAGGGGGGGAAACAGAACAUCCUGCUUCCUUUUCCUCAGGUAACCACUCCAGAUUUGGAGAGCUUUGCUGCUCGGCCCUCCGUGGAAGUGGGCGGCAGGGCUCUACUGUCCCCCGCAACUCCUCACACGCCCGGCGCCAGACACAGCUCCCGAGAAAGCUUGAGGAAGGUAGCGGGGACCCGGCUCAGCUGCUGUCGCUAUAGGGACAGGGGAUUGCAAAGCCGCCUCCCCAGAUCCUGUCCUCGCGGCAGCAGCCACUCCCACGCCAGUCUGGUGCUGCCAGCCUCGAGUGUGGAGGAUGCCCUGCCACCGAGUCGUUUAACCUCCCCCACCCCGCCCCGCGUUAUCGCCCGGGCUCCCUUCUUCUGCAGCAUCGAGGGCCCAUGGAGGGUGCGAGGGGCGGCAGCCUGGCUGCUGUCCCGGGGCAGCGGCACGAAAGCAGCUCACAGCGUCGAGGGACACCGAAUCCCUGACCACCACCCCCGCUCCUGGGCCCGCUGCAGUGCCCGCGGCUCUGACGGGGACACGAGGCUCCCCAGGGCUGAGACAGGCGGGAGGACGGGGGCUCUGCUCCGCCGGGGCGGAAGCGGGUGGGAAGCGGGCGGGAAGGCGCCGGGCGGCGGGAGGCGGCUGCACCCGACCGUCCCCGCCGCCGAAGGUUCUGGACCGCCCCCGCCGACGCCGGGAUGGGGGGUGGGAGUGGAAGCCGGGAAGGGGCGGGGACCGGCGAGGGCACGCGCAGGAGAUGCAGAAGCCGAAAAUUUUCCAUCUCUGCAGUCUUCCCCCCGCCCCCAUUCGGCGCGAACUGUCCUCAUUUUAUAUAGAAAACGAUGAUGAGGCUUCGUUGCUCCUUUAUGAGAAGAAAGAUUGGUAAAAUGCAUCCAGGAAGAAAAAUUACUGUAUUUAUAAUGGCCCCAUUAUUGUAACUCUGCAACAUGUGAGUGCAAUCUGCACUGCUCCAAAAUACUGAGUCUUUAAAAUUUUACCCAUGCAGUCUGUUUGCUGGUUCAAAUGAUCUGCUUUUUUCAAGUGGUUUUAAGUAAUGCCUCACUGAUUGAAUUAUAAUUUUCCUGAUUUUUGUAAUUGCCAAGAAUGUCCUUGGCAAAACAUACAUAGGAUGUGUUUCAUCCAAUUUUGAAAUGUAUUUUGUAAUCGGAAUAAUAAAAGUUAAUAUUCAUCAGUUCCUCCCA
RNAcentral lists this long non-coding RNA (1196 nucleotides) under Parus major (Great Tit). RNAcentral describes it as "lncRNA (ENSPMJG00000011074.1)". The record is from RNAcentral. Lineage: Eukaryota; Metazoa; Chordata; Aves; Passeriformes; Paridae.